This 398-nucleotide ribosomal RNA is filed under the name uncultured bacterium. RNAcentral's name for it is "partial 16S ribosomal RNA". It matches the Rfam family "Bacterial small subunit ribosomal RNA", at positions 523 to 918 of the family's 1533-position model. The record is from RNAcentral.
AUACGUAGGGUGCGAGCGUUGUCCGGAAUUACUGGGCGUAAAGAGCUCGUAGGUGGUUUGUCGCGUCGUCUGUGAAAUUCCGGGGCUUAACUCCGGGCGUGCAGGCGCUACGGGCAUAACUUGAGUACUGUAGGGGAGACUGGAAUUCCUGGUGUAGCGGUGAAAUGCGCAGAUAUCAGGAGGAACACCGGUGGCGAAGGCGGGUCUCUGGGCAGUAACUGACGCUGAGGAGCGAAAGCAUGGGUAGCGAACAGGAUUAGAUACCCUGGUAGUCCAUGCCGUAAACGGUGGGCGCUAGGUGUAGGGGUCUUCCACGACUUCUGUGCCGUAGCUAACGCAUUAAGCGCCCCGCCUGGGGAGUACGGCCGCAAGGCUAAAACUCAAAGGAAUUGACGGGG